AGUGAAGCGGGAAGAGCUCAAAUUUGUAAUCUGGCGGUCUGGCGGCCGUCCGAGUUGUAAUCUGGAGAAGCGUUUUCGGUGCCGGCCCGCGUACAAGUCCCCUGGAACGGGGUGUCGCAGAGGGUGAGAAUCCCGUCUCUGACGCGGUCCGCCGGCGCCGUGCGAUGCGCUCUCGAAGAGUCGAGUUGUUUGGGAAUGCAGCUCAAAACGGGUGGUAAAUUCCAUCUAAAGCUAAAUACUGGCGAAAGACCGAUAGCGAACAAGUACCGUGAGGGAAAGAUGAAAAGCACUUUGGAAAGAGAGUCAAACAGUACGUGAAAUUGUUGAAAGGGAAACGCUUGAAGUCAGUCGCGUCUCUCGGGACUCAGUCGGACCCUAAGGGUCCGACCACUUCCCGGGUCGGACGGGCCAGCGUCGAUUUCGACCGCCGUAAAAAGGCGUGAGGAACGUGGCACCUUCGGGUGUGUUAUAGCCUCU
RNAcentral lists this ribosomal RNA (477 nucleotides) under Protubera maracuja. Its description in RNAcentral is "eukaryotic LSU rRNA". It matches the Rfam family "Eukaryotic large subunit ribosomal RNA", at positions 92 to 564 of the family's 3401-position model. The record is from RNAcentral. Lineage: Eukaryota; Fungi; Basidiomycota; Agaricomycetes; Phallales; Phallaceae.